This 253-nucleotide ribosomal RNA is filed under the name uncultured bacterium. RNAcentral's name for it is "partial 16S ribosomal RNA". It matches the Rfam family "Bacterial small subunit ribosomal RNA", at positions 524 to 776 of the family's 1533-position model. The record is from RNAcentral.
UACGUAGGGGGCAAGCGUUGUCCGGAUUUAUUGGGCGUAAAGAGCGUGUAGGCGGUUUGGUAGGUCCGUUGUGAAAACUCGAGGCUCAACCUCGAGACGCCGGCGGAAACCAUCAGGCUAGAGUCCGGAAGAGGAGAGUGGAAUUCCUGGUAUAGCGGUGAAAUGCGCAGAUAUCAGGAAGAACACCCGUGGCUAAGGCGGCUCUCUAGUACGGUACUGACGCUGAGACGCGAAAGCGUGGGGAGCGAACAGG